GAUGAACGCUGGCGGCGUGCCUAAUACAUGCCAGUCGAGCGAACAGACGAGGAGCUUGCUUCUCUGACGUUAGCGGCGGACGGGUGAGUAACACGUGGAUAACCUACCUAUAAGACUGGGAUAACUUCGGGAAACCGGAGCUAAUACCGGAUAAUAUAUUGAACCGCAUGGUUCAAUAGUGAAAGACGGUUUUGCUGUCACUUAUAGAUGGAUCCGCGCCGCAUUAGCUAGUUGGUAAGGUAACGGCUUACCAAGGCAACGAUGCGUAGCCGACCUGAGAGGGUGAUCGGCCACACUGGAACUGAGACACGGUCCAGACUCCUACGGGAGGCAGCAGUAGGGAAUCUUCCGCAAUGGGCGAAAGCCUGACGGAGCAACGCCGCGUGAGUGAUGAAGGUCUUCGGAUCGUAAAACUCUGUUAUUAGGGAAGAACAAAUGUGUAAGUAACUAUGCACGUCUGGACGGUACCUAAUCAGAAAGCCACGGCUAACUACGU
This 496-nucleotide ribosomal RNA is filed under the name uncultured bacterium. RNAcentral describes it as "partial 16S ribosomal RNA". It matches the Rfam family "Bacterial small subunit ribosomal RNA", at positions 28 to 506 of the family's 1533-position model. The record is from RNAcentral.